GCCUAGGUGGCUCAGUCGGUUGAGCGUCUGACUUCGGCUCAGGUCAUGAUCUCACGGUUCGUGGGUUCGAGCCCCACAUCGGGCU
Molecule: transfer RNA, 85 nt
Filed under: Felis catus (domestic cat)
Lineage: Eukaryota; Metazoa; Chordata; Mammalia; Carnivora; Felidae
Rfam family: tRNA
About the family: Transfer RNA (tRNA) molecules are approximately 80 nucleotides in length. Their secondary structure includes four short double-helical elements and three loops (D, anti-codon, and T loops).
Source: Rfam by way of RNAcentral